RNAcentral lists this ribosomal RNA (367 nucleotides) under uncultured bacterium. Its description in RNAcentral is "bacterial SSU rRNA". It matches the Rfam family "Bacterial small subunit ribosomal RNA", at positions 71 to 422 of the family's 1533-position model. The record is from RNAcentral.
AAAGGGGCUUCGGCUCCGAGUAAAGUGGCGCACGGGUGAGUAACACGUAGGUAACCUGCCUCUAAGAUUGGGAUAACUUGUCGAAAGAUGAGCUAAUACCAAAUAAGACCACGGUCUCCUCGGGGACAGAGGUCAAAGGUAGCCUCUAUUUAUAAGCUAUCGCUGAGAGAUGGGCCUGCGUACCAUUAGCUAGUUGGUGAGGUAACGGCUCACCAAGGCAAAGAUGGUUAGCUGGUCUGAGAGGAUGAUCAGCCACGCUGGAACUGAGACACGGUCCAGACUCCUACGGGAGGCAGCAGUGGGGAAUAUUGCGCAAUGGGCGAAAGCCUGACGCAGCAACGCCGCGUGAGUGAUGAAGGCCUUCGGG